This 291-nucleotide small RNA is filed under the name Pan paniscus (pygmy chimpanzee). RNAcentral's name for it is "Metazoan signal recognition particle RNA (ENSPPAG00000000504.1)". Lineage: Eukaryota; Metazoa; Chordata; Mammalia; Primates; Hominidae. The record is from RNAcentral.
GCUGGGCAUGGUGGCUCAUGCCUGUGAUCCCAGCACUUUGGGAGGCCGAGGUGGGUGGAUUACCUGAGGUCAGGAGUUCAAGACCAGCCUGGCCAACAUGGUAAAAACCCUGUACUCUACUAAAAAUACAAAAAUUAGGCUGGGAGCAGAGGCUCACGCCUGUAAUCCCAACACUUUGGGAGGCCGAGGCCACCACGACCAGCUAAUUUUUGCAUUUUCAGCAGAGACGGGGUUUCACCAUGUUGGUCAGGCGGGUCUCGAACUCCUGACCUCAGGUGAUCCACCUGCCCU